AUUGAACGCUGGCGGCAGGCUUAGCACAUGCAAGUCGAGCGGAGAUGAGGUGCUUGCACCUUAUCUUAGCGGCGGACGGGUGAGUAAUGCUUAGGAAUCUGCCUAUUAGUGGGGGACAACAUUCCGAAAGGAAUGCUAAUACCGCAUACGUCCUACGGGAGAAAGCAGGGGAUCUUCGGACCUUGCGCUAAUAGAUGAGCAUAAGUCGGAUUAGCUAGUUGGUGGGGUAAAGGCCUACCAAGGCGACGAUCGGUAGCGGGUCCGAGAGGAUGAUCCGCCACACUGGGACUGGGACACGGCCCAGACUCCUACGGGAGGCAGCAGUGGGGAAUAUUGGACAGUGGGGGAAACCCUGAUCCAGCCAUGCCGCGUGUGUGAAGAAGGCCUUAUGGUUGUAAAGCACUUUAAGCGAGGAGGAGGCUACUGAGACUAAUACUCUUGGAUAGUGGACGUUACUCGCAGAAUAAGCACCGGCUAACUCUGUGCCAGCAGCCGCCGUAA
RNAcentral lists this ribosomal RNA (501 nucleotides) under uncultured bacterium. RNAcentral's name for it is "partial 16S ribosomal RNA". It matches the Rfam family "Bacterial small subunit ribosomal RNA", at positions 30 to 523 of the family's 1533-position model. The record is from RNAcentral.